RNAcentral lists this ribosomal RNA (253 nucleotides) under uncultured bacterium. RNAcentral's name for it is "partial 16S ribosomal RNA". It matches the Rfam family "Bacterial small subunit ribosomal RNA", at positions 524 to 776 of the family's 1533-position model. The record is from RNAcentral.
UACGAAGGGGGCUAGCGUUGCUCGGAAUCACUGGGCGUAAAGGGUGCGUAGGCGGGUCUUUAAGUCAGGGGUGAAAUCCUGGAGCUCAACUCCAGAACUGCCUUUGAUACUGAAGAUCUUGAGUUCGGGAGAGGUGAGUGGAACUGCGAGUGUAGAGGUGAAAUUCGUAGAUAUUCGCAAGAACACCAGUGGCGAAGGCGGCUCACUGGCCCGAUAUUGACGCUGAGGCACGAAAGCGUGGGGAGCAAACAGG